Long non-coding RNA from Cornus florida, 504 nucleotides. RefSeq lists it as uncharacterized. The record is from RefSeq and is a predicted model, not a curated record. The transcript has 2 exons. NCBI's taxonomy places the organism in Eukaryota, Viridiplantae, Streptophyta, Magnoliopsida, Cornales, Cornaceae.
UCUACAAAAGAAAAAUUAGGCGUUACAGGUAGUAGCAGCGGCUAAGGUGGAGGUGGAAACAGUGGUGGUGGUGGUGGAGACGGCGGUUUCUGGUCGAAAGUAUUCCGUGGUUGCUAAGCACAACGAAUCACAAUUUCAAGAAUGGGACUCAGACGGGUUGGGUUACCUGCCAACAUUGUGGUAUUUUUGCACAACAAGCUCGGUGGCUUCAAGAAAUACAAAGUCUCUGAAAUUUUAUUCUUCCAUUGAUGCACCACCGUCUGCACAUUAAGGCAUAAAACCAGGCUGACUGUCAUGCCCGGCCUUUAGAGGUUACGCCUGCGCCACGCAGGCAACACGUGACUUUAGGCCCGUGACAAGAGGCUAUGAAAUGGGCUACUCCUAAUAUCCUCGGGACUGACUUAGCACUUCCCAUCAGUGACUGCUUUUGCCAUAGCCUAGGUUGGGAGGAGUACCAUGAGGACACCUAUUCAAUAAUGAAGAAGCUUCUCCCGAAAUUCCAGG